UAAGAGCCGCCCAGAGGCCACCUGCCCAGCUGCGGGCUCAGAGUCUGAACCUGGGGUGUCUCCGCCAUGGCCUGGACCCCUCUCCUGCUCCCCCUGCUCACUCUCUGCACAGGCUCUGUGGCCUCCCAGGAGCUGACCCAGUCGGGCCCUUUGUCAGUGGCCCCGGGAGGGACGGCCAGCAUCACCUGCACUGGAGAUUUCCUGGAUAAAAGAUAUACUUCCUGGCACCAGCAGAAGCCCGGCCAGGCCCCUGUGCAGGUCAUUUACAAGGAUAGUGAGCGGCCCUCAGGGAUCCCUGACCGGUUCUCAGGCUCCAGCUCCGGGAAGACUGUAACCCUGACGAUCAGUGGGGCCCGGGCCGAGGACGAGGCGGACUAUUACUGUCAGUCUAGUACCAGUGAUGACAAUCUCACAGUGACACAGGCAGAUGGGGAAGUGGGACAGAAACCCUGUCCCCGUCUGUGUCACACGCUCCUCCAGCCCCAGGAGGACUGUAGGCAAAGCCAUGAGCAGGCCUGGCCCAGGUCUCCCAGCCAAUCUGAGCUCAUGAAGCCCCAGGACCUGGCAGCCUGGGUGCUGAACAACCAAACCCGAGCUGUGGGCACUGAGGAGUCCACCCUGGUCCCUGCUCAGGGCUGA
This is a non-coding RNA of Myotis brandtii (Brandt's bat), 639 nucleotides long. Lineage: Eukaryota; Metazoa; Chordata; Mammalia; Chiroptera; Vespertilionidae. The record is from the annotation of a RefSeq genome assembly.